CUACGUAGGUGGCGAGCGUUGUCCGGAAUUAUUGGGCGUAAAGGGCACGCAGGCGGCUGUUUAAGUCCGGUGUGAAAGGUUGCGGCUUAACCGCAAACGGGCACCGGAAACUGAAGAGCUUGAGGGCAGAAGAGGGGAGCAGAAUUCCACGUGUAGCGGUGAAAUGCGUAGAGAUGUGGAAGAAUACCGGUGGCGAAAGCGGCUCUCUGGUCUGCACCUGACGCUGAGGUGCGAAAGCGUGGGGAGCGAACAGGAUUAGAUACCCUGGUAGUCCACGCCGUAAACGAUGAAUGCUAGGUGUUAGGGGGGUCCAACCCCUUAGUGCUGAAGGCAACCCAUUAAGCAUUCCGCCUGGGGAAUACGACCGCAAGGUUGAA
This 377-nucleotide ribosomal RNA is filed under the name uncultured bacterium. RNAcentral describes it as "bacterial SSU rRNA". It matches the Rfam family "Bacterial small subunit ribosomal RNA", at positions 523 to 898 of the family's 1533-position model. The record is from RNAcentral.